UUACGUAAAAAGAAGUCGAAAUAAAUAUUUUUUUCUGAAAAACACAUUUUAUUAGUCAACCAUACACAAUAGGAAAUCGAAACACUUGCUUUGAAUUUGUUAAGAUUUUUGUAAAUAUAAUAAGUAUGAUUACAAGACUGUUAAAAACUAUGUAAGACAGGUCAAAUAAACAUCAAACCCAAUACACCCCGUAAAAAAAAAAAAAAACAAGUUGAGCCACACAAUUUUUUAUGAAUCCAAUAAAAAUAGGUUUCUUUCAAACAAAUCAAACUUCGUUAGAAAGAGAAUAUUUAGUAGUAUAUGAAACAUAGAGUGUAAUGAUUAGCCAUUGGUUCAUGUAAUAUCAUCAUCACACAAUCAUAAGAGUAAGUUUUUUCUAGUAACGGUACAUUUC
Molecule: long non-coding RNA, 394 nt
Filed under: Capsella rubella
Lineage: Eukaryota; Viridiplantae; Streptophyta; Magnoliopsida; Brassicales; Brassicaceae
Description: long non-coding RNA (CRUB_LNC002345)
Source: RNAcentral